CGCGGGGUAGAGCAGUUGGUAGCUCGUCGGGCUCAUAACCCGAAGGUCGCAGGUUCGAGUCCUGCCCCCGCAA
This 73-nucleotide transfer RNA is filed under the name Bacteroidota bacterium. RNAcentral's name for it is "tRNA-Met". It matches the Rfam family "tRNA". Rfam says of the family: Transfer RNA (tRNA) molecules are approximately 80 nucleotides in length. The record is from RNAcentral. RNAcentral also lists the same sequence under 1 other name. Lineage: Bacteria; Pseudomonadati; Bacteroidota.